GAUGAACGCUGGCGGCGUGCCUAAUACAUGCAAGUCGAGCGAACGGACGAGAAGCUUGCUUCUCUGAUGUUAGCGGCGGACGGGUGAGUAACACGUGGAUAACCUACCUAUAAGACUGGGAUAACUUCGGGAAACCGGAGCUAAUACCGGAUAAUAUUUUGAACCGCAUGGUUCAAAAGUGAAAGACGGUCUUUCUGUCACUUCUAGAUGGAUCCGCGCUGCAUUAGCUAGUUGGUAAGGUAACGGCUUACCAAGGCAACGAUGCAUAGCCGACCUGAGAGGGUGAUCGGCCACACUGGAACUGAGACACGGUCCAGACUCCUACGGGAGGCAGCAGUAGGGAAUCUUCCGCAAAGGGCGAAAGCCUGACGGAGCAACGCCGCGUGAGUGAUGAAGGCCUUCGGAUCGUAAAACUCUGUUAUUAUGGAAGAACAUAUGUGUAAGUAACUGUGCACAUCUUGACGGUACCUAAUCAGAAAGCCACGGCUAACUACGUG
RNAcentral lists this ribosomal RNA (497 nucleotides) under uncultured bacterium. Its description in RNAcentral is "partial 16S ribosomal RNA". It matches the Rfam family "Bacterial small subunit ribosomal RNA", at positions 28 to 507 of the family's 1533-position model. The record is from RNAcentral.